Molecule: ribosomal RNA, 425 nt
Filed under: uncultured bacterium
Lineage: Bacteria
Description: partial 16S ribosomal RNA
Rfam family: Bacterial small subunit ribosomal RNA
Source: RNAcentral
GUGGGGAAUAUUGGACAAUGGGCGCAAGCCUGAUCCAGCCAUGCCGCGUGAGUGAUGAAGGCCUUAGGGUUGUAAAGCUCUUUCACCGGUGAAGAUAAUGACGGUAACCGGAGAAGAAGCCCCGGCUAACUUCGUGCCAGCAGCCGCGGUAAUACGAAGGGGGCUAGCGUUGUUCGGAAUUACUGGGCGUAAAGCGCACGUAGGCGGAUAUUUAAGUCAGGGGUGAAAUCCCAGAGCUCAACUCUGGAACUGCCUUUGAUACUGGGUAUCUCGAGUAUGGAAGAGGUAAGUGGAAUUCCGGGUGUAGAGGUGAAAUUCGUAGAUAUUCGGAGGAACACCAGUGGCGAAGGCGGCUUACUGGUCCAUUACUGACGCUGAGGUGCGAAAGCGUGGGGAGCAAACAGGAUUAGAUACCCUUGUAGUCC